Molecule: long non-coding RNA, 504 nt
Filed under: Sinocyclocheilus anshuiensis
Lineage: Eukaryota; Metazoa; Chordata; Actinopteri; Cypriniformes; Cyprinidae
Description: lncRNA (ENSSANG00000051286.1)
Source: RNAcentral
CGCAAAAAAACGCAACUUAGAAAGUGCAGAGGAUGAAGCUCCAGUGACUACAAUGAAGCCAAUAAAGCAAGAAAUACUGAUGUGGCAAAACAAGGCGGAAGUAUUACAAAAUAAAGUGAAUGAGUUGGAAGCCUUGAACACCGAGCUUCGGCAGCAAGUAGUGGAGCUUUCAGCGCAGCAAAAUGACCUGAUUCCUAGUACAUCAGUGGUACGUGAAGAAACUGGUGCUGUUGACCUAUCUAGUGAUGGGAACACAUCAACUGAUGUAGAGUCAUCAGUCACAGAAGAUUCAUGUGAUGACUCUUCUGACUCUUCAAGUUCAAGUUCAGAAGAGACUCAUCAAAGAAGAAAAACAAAGAAAAGCAAAACCAAGAAAAACAAAACCAAGAAACAUAAGAAGAACAAGAAGAAGGGCAAGAAGAAUGAAUAUGACAAGAUAAAACGAGGUACAUACAGUUGUCUUUUUAUGGUUGUUUUUCUGUUUACAUCGUAGUGAAUGAUAAG